GAAUUUGUGUUAUUUUUACUUAAUUUGCCAGCACUGACAACACAUCGGGGAGGGGAGGCAGGUUCACACAUCUGGGGAAUAGCUCAGUUCCUAUAAUCUGAGCUGCUCAGGAAGGAUAUUUGAGGCUCGUAUCCCACUCUGUGUGGAUAUAUGGGAUUUGUUUCCCCCUCGGGUUGCAUGUAUGGGAUUUAUAACCCCCUUGGGGUGGACAGAUGGGAUUUAUAUUUCCCUCUAGUUGGAUAUAUGUAAUUUAGAUCUCCCCAGGUGGAUAGAUGGGAUUUAUAUCCCUAUGGAAAUUCUUUUCCUAUUUAAAAUUAAUAAUGAAUGAAUGUUUCUCUAUUGAAGCUUUUCUCCUGGAAAAUGAUCCUUGAAGAGAGCCUGUGAGCCACUGAUAUCCCUCAUGCCCAGGCGGGACAAUUGUGGGACAAGCAGUUGGUUGGAAAUCUCACUGCUGUGUGAUCCUGAACCAUUUUCCGGGGCGUUCUUGGCUUUUCUCGAUCCACCUUGAUGGCAGCACCAAGCCAGGAGGUGGCACUGCCAGGCAGCGCGUCCGGUCCCGCUCUGAACCCGCCUCCAGCCUUUCAGAAUCCGAGGAAACAGGAAAGGCCUGAAGGAUUGCUGAGCUGCUCUCACCAAAACCUUCAGCCACAAAAUCUCAGCAGUUCCAGAACAGAGACGACGCCUCAUGGAGAGGAUUUAUUUCAUCAUCAACACCUG
Molecule: long non-coding RNA, 717 nt
Organism: Melospiza melodia melodia
Lineage: Eukaryota; Metazoa; Chordata; Aves; Passeriformes; Passerellidae
Exons: 3
Source: RefSeq, a predicted model, not a curated record